This 467-nucleotide ribosomal RNA is filed under the name uncultured bacterium. Its description in RNAcentral is "partial 16S ribosomal RNA". It matches the Rfam family "Bacterial small subunit ribosomal RNA", at positions 28 to 507 of the family's 1533-position model. The record is from RNAcentral.
GACGAACGCUGGCGGCGUGCUUAACACAUGCAAGUCGAACGGAAAGGCCCUGCUUUUGUGGGGUGCUCGAGUGGCGAACGGGUGAGUAACACGUGAGUAACCUGCCCUUGACUUUGGGAUAACUUCAGGAAACUGGGGCUAAUACCGGAUAGGAGCUCCUGCUGCAUGGUGGGGGUUGGAAAGUUUCGGCGGUUGGGGAUGGACUCGCGGCUUAUCAGCUUGUUGGUGGGGUAGUGGCUUACCAAGGCUUUGACGGGUAGCCGGCCUGAGAGGGUGACCGGCCACAUUGGGACUGAGAUACGGCCCAGACUCCUACGGGAGGCAGCAGUGGGGAAUAUUGCACAAUGGGCGGAAGCCUGAUGCAGCAACGCCGCGUGCGGGAUGACGGCCUUCGGGUUGUAAACCGCUUUCGCCUGUGACGAAGCGUGGGUGACGGUAAUGGUAAAGAAGCACCGGCUAACUACGUG